This is a long non-coding RNA of Pyrus x bretschneideri (Chinese white pear), 1005 nucleotides long. RefSeq lists it as uncharacterized. The transcript is spliced from 3 exons. Lineage: Eukaryota; Viridiplantae; Streptophyta; Magnoliopsida; Rosales; Rosaceae. The record is from RefSeq and is a predicted model, not a curated record.
CUCAUCUUUAAAAAAUGUCAAUGUCAUAUCUCAUCUUACGAAUUUGUUACAAUUUCAUACAUUUCAUCAAUUUGUCUGUCAAUUCUUCUGUUAAAUUGUGACGUAGCUUAAAAAAAUAAAAAAUAAAAAUAUUAAUUAAAUAUUAAAAACUAAAAAAAAUAAAAUCUUUUUUUCUUUUUUUUGCGUAGGGGACCCACCCCUUAUCCCCCUCACCUUUCUUCCCCCAACCCAAACCCAGAUCCCACCCCAAACCCAGGUAUUCAAGUUAUUCCAUGAGCAUCAAAAUUUUAAAACUAAAAGAAGUUAUUGGUUUUGGACCACCACCAAGGCUCCACCUCAAUUCAGGAGACCACGCCUGCCCCCUCCCGAAAGCCUACACAGAGAAGAAACAAAAGCAGCAACAGCAGCUCUAGCAGUAACCGGCCACUCCCAUUCCCACCAGCCUGCUGUAAAUGUCAGAUGCACGUUGAGAAUAAGAGGUUUUAGGACCGAAGUUAAUGAGACUUUGAGGACAGUAGAAGACAAAAUGGCGCCAAUUGUUGAGCUUAAUACAAGGUAACUUCUUCACUUUAUAUGGAAGGAAGGAAUGUCAAUCCGGCAUCACCCACCACUCCCCGACCCAAGUCUUGAAGAAUUUCAACGAGAUUCGAUUCCUCCGGAUCGAGCUUCCCAGUGGCGAGCUAGGCAUCGAUGAGCGUUUUGCUCGGGUGGAGGGCCGGGUGGGUUGGGGGAAGACAGGAGCAGGUUGGAUCUGGGUUUGGGGUAGGGGAAGAUAGAAGCGGGGAAGAAAGGUGAGGGGGAUAAGGGAUGGGUCCCCCAUGCAUAAAAAAAGGUUUUAUUUAUUUUUAGUUUUUAAUAUUUAAUUAAUUUUUUUAAGCCACGUCACUAUUUAACGAAAGAAUUGACGGACAAACUAACGGAAGUUAUGAAAUUGUAACAAAUUCGUAAGAUGAGGUAUGACAUUGACAUUUUUUAAAGAUGAGGUAUGAAACUGUGAUUGACCUA